UAACUGAAGAGUUUGAUCCUGGCUCAGAUUGAACGCUGGCGGCGUGCCUAACACAUGCAAGUCGAGCGGUAACAGGUGUAGCAAUACAUGCUGACGAGCGGCGAACGGGUGAGUAAUGCUUUGGA
This 125-nucleotide ribosomal RNA is filed under the name Pseudomonadota bacterium. RNAcentral's name for it is "partial 16S ribosomal RNA". It matches the Rfam family "Bacterial small subunit ribosomal RNA", at positions 1 to 122 of the family's 1533-position model. Lineage: Bacteria; Pseudomonadati; Pseudomonadota. The record is from RNAcentral.